UUAAAUUGAAGAGUUUGAUCAUGGCUCAGAUUGAACGCUGGCGGCAGGCCUAACACAUGCAAGUCGAACGGUAACAGGAAGAAGCUUGCUUCUUUGCUGACGAGUGGCGGACGGGUGAGUAAUGUCUGGGAAACUGCCUGAUGGAGGGGGAUAACUACUGGAAACGGUAGCUAAUACCGCAUAACGUCGCAAGACCAAAGAGGGGGACCUUCGGGCCUCUUGCCAUCGGAUGUGCCCAGAUGGGAUUAGCUUGUUGGUGGGGUAACGGCUCACCAAGGCGACGAUCCCUAGCUGGUCUGAGAGGAUGACCAGCCACACUGGAACUGAGACACGGUCCAGACUCCUACGGGAGGCAGCAGUGGGGAAUAUUGCACAAUGGGCGCAAGCCUGAUGCAGCCAUGCCGCGUGUAUGAAGAAGGCCUUCGGGUUGUAAAGUACUUUCAGCGGGGAGGAAGGGAGUAAAGUUAAUACCUUUGCUCAUUGACGUUACCCGCAGAAGAAGCACCGGCUAACUCCGUGCCAGCAGCCGCGGUAAUACGGAGGGUGCAAGCGUUAAUCGGAAUUACUGGGCGUAAAGCGCACGCAGGCGGUUUGUUAAGUCAGAUGUGAAAUCCCCGGGCUCAACCUGGGAACUGCAUCUGAUACUGGCAAGCUUGAGUCUCGUAGAGGGGGGUAGAAUUCCAGGUGUAGCGGUGAAAUGCGUAGAGAUCUGGAGGAAUACCGGUGGCGAAGGCGGCCCCCUGGACGAAGACUGACGCUCAGGUGCGAAAGCGUGGGGAGCAAACAGGAUUAGAUACCCUGGUAGUCCACGCCGUAAACGAUGUCGACUUGGAGGUUGUGCCCUUGAGGCGUGGCUUCCGGAGCUAACGCGUUAAGUCGACCGCCUGGGGAGUACGGCCGCAAGGUUAAAACUCAAAUGAAUUGACGGGGGCCCGCACAAGCGGUGGAGCAUGUGGUUUAAUUCGAUGCAACGCGAAGAACCUUACCUGGUCUUGACAUCCACGGAAGUUUUCAGAGAUGAGAAUGUGCCUUCGGGAACCGUGAGACAGGUGCUGCAUGGCUGUCGUCAGCUCGUGUUGUGAAAUGUUGGGUUAAGUCCCGCAACGAGCGCAACCCUUAUCCUUUGUUGCCAGCGGUCCGGCCGGGAACUCAAAGGAGACUGCCAGUGAUAAACUGGAGGAAGGUGGGGAUGACGUCAAGUCAUCAUGGCCCUUACGACCAGGGCUACACACGUGCUACAAUGGCGCAUACAAAGAGAAGCGACCUCGCGAGAGCAAGCGGACCUCAUAAAGUGCGUCGUAGUCCGGAUUGGAGUCUGCAACUCGACUCCAUGAAGUCGGAAUCGCUAGUAAUCGUGGAUCAGAAUGCCACGGUGAAUACGUUCCCGGGCCUUGUACACACCGCCCGUCACACCAUGGGAGUGGGUUGCAAAAGAAGUAGGUAGCUUAACCUUCGGGAGGGCGCUUACCACUUUGUGAUUCAUGACUGGGGUGAAGUCGUAACAAGGUAACCGUAGGGGAACCUGCGGUUGGAUC
Molecule: ribosomal RNA, 1535 nt
Filed under: Escherichia coli
Lineage: Bacteria; Pseudomonadati; Pseudomonadota; Gammaproteobacteria; Enterobacterales; Enterobacteriaceae
Description: bacterial SSU rRNA
Rfam family: Bacterial small subunit ribosomal RNA
Source: RNAcentral